AAUGGGAUUUCCAUUUGUAGGGUGAAAAUGGGCAGAAUUAUGGAGGAACACCCGUGGCGAAGGCGACUUUCUGGUCUGUAACUGACGCUGAUGUGCAAAAGCGUGGGCAUCAAACAGGAUUAGAUACCCGGUUAGUCCACGCCGUAAACGAAGAGUGCUAAGUGUGAGGGGGUUUCCGCCCCUUAGUGGUGCAGCUAACGCAUUAAACACUCCGCCUGGGGAGUACGACCGCAAGGUUGAAACUCAAAGGAAUUGGCGGGGACCCGCACAAGCGGUGGAGCAUGUGGUUUAAUUCGAAGCAACGCGAAGAACCUUACCAAAUCUUGACAUCCUCUGACCCCUCUAGAGAUAGAGUUUUCCCCUUCGGGGGACAGAGUGACAGGUGGUGCAUGGUUGUCGUCAGCUCGUGUCGUGAGAUGUUGGGUUAAGUCCCGCAACGAGCGCAACCCUUAAGCUUAGUUGCCAUCAUUAAGUUGGGCACUCUAAGUUGACUGCCGGUGACAAACCGGAGGAAGGUGGGGAUGACGUCAAAUCAUCAUGCCCCUUAUGAUUUGGGCUACACACGUGCUACAAUGGACAAUACAAAGGGCAGCGAAACCGCGAGGUCAAGCAAAUCCCAUAAAGUUGUUCUCAGUUCGGAUUGUAGUCUGCAACUCGACUAUAUGAAGCUGGAAUCGCUAGUAAUCGUAGAUCAGCAUGCUACGGUGAAUACGUUCCCGGGUCUUGUACACACCGCCCGUCACACCACGAGAGUUUGUAACACCCGAA
This 768-nucleotide ribosomal RNA is filed under the name Staphylococcus epidermidis. RNAcentral describes it as "bacterial SSU rRNA". It matches the Rfam family "Bacterial small subunit ribosomal RNA", at positions 659 to 1425 of the family's 1533-position model. Lineage: Bacteria; Bacillati; Bacillota; Bacilli; Caryophanales; Staphylococcaceae. The record is from RNAcentral.